RNAcentral lists this ribosomal RNA (253 nucleotides) under uncultured bacterium. Its description in RNAcentral is "partial 16S ribosomal RNA". It matches the Rfam family "Bacterial small subunit ribosomal RNA", at positions 524 to 776 of the family's 1533-position model. The record is from RNAcentral.
UACGUAGGUGGCAAGCGUUAUCCGGAUUUAUUGGGUGUAAAGGGCGUGUAGGCGGGAGCGCAAGUCAGAUGUGAAAACUCAGGGCUCAACCGUGAGCCUGCAUUUGAAACUGUGUUUCUUGAGUGCUGGAGAGGCAAUCGGAAUUCCGUGUGUAGCGGUGAAAUGCGUAGAUAUACGGAGGAACACCAGUGGCGAAGGCGGAUUGCUGGACAGUAACUGACGCUGAGGCGCGAAAGCGUGGGGAGCAAACAGG